Molecule: long non-coding RNA, 523 nt
Filed under: Homo sapiens (human)
Lineage: Eukaryota; Metazoa; Chordata; Mammalia; Primates; Hominidae
Description: non-protein coding lnc-GLIS2-5:1
Source: RNAcentral
CUUCAUGUUGGGGACCUCAUCCGGGAUCCCAAGGUACAACACUCAUCAAAACGAGUCAAGAAAACUUAUUGUGAACUAUUUAUGGCCUUUAAUAAUUGAAUAAGGUAUACUCCUGUGAAGAAAAUUUGGAGCAUGUUUGUUUCUCUCUGCCUGGUUUCUCUGGAAUCUGGAAACUAUCUCAACAUCUGGUGGAGGCAAACCAGUGUUACAACCCAUCAGAAUGGCUGACAGUAAUCAAACUCUAAAUGGUGCUGCAGACAGAACCAUGCACGGACAUGCCUUUUUUCCGAGGACCCUUAGCUCGACCCCAGGAGGAGCCCUUAGCUUCUGUUCCCCACACAACACCCCUUUUAAGUAUGAAGUAGCCAGAAAGAGUCAUCAUCAAACAACCCCGAAGAGCAGUUAGGGUUACCACUCCAGAGUGGGGAAUGAUACAGGAGUUAAGAGGAAAUUACUUAGAUAGUGAGGAUACAGAAGUCCUCAGUAAGGUUUUCCUUUUACUGAAAAGCAGCCCCAAAUCAUU